This is a long non-coding RNA of Nomascus leucogenys (northern white-cheeked gibbon), 2545 nucleotides long. RefSeq lists it as uncharacterized. The transcript has 5 exons. NCBI's taxonomy places the organism in Eukaryota, Metazoa, Chordata, Mammalia, Primates, Hylobatidae. The record is from RefSeq and is a predicted model, not a curated record.
GACCCGAAGGAUUCCAGAGCGCUUGCCCUAGGUCCUGGGGCAGCGAUGACUCACUGCAGCACCCCCUCCCACUUCGCCAAGCUGCCGUCUCCGCCCACCCCCAAACAAUCUCGACAGCGCAUUUCGGGAGCCACGGCUCCUGGCGCUUUGCUGGGGGCUAAAGGGAUUUAUCCCUUUCCUUGAAUCCCAGCAGGCUAGAACUACUCCCUCCCAGGCUUCAGGCUUGCCACGCUCUCCACCCGAUCCUUCCAUUGAAAGGCAGAGAAGGAAGGAUGCGCUUGGGAACUUUAAGACCCACGAACGACAGCGCAAUGAUGGAGCAGCCCAGUGUCCGGGGCAAAGUCCUCGAGGUUCAUUCAUGGAAGCCUCUGUCCAGCCUUUACCAUGCGCUGAGUGGGAAGCUGAGGAUAAGGAAAGAGCAAGACCCCCAAGAAACCCUGAUGUCUGGCUGAAAGCCGAAGCACGAUGCAACUUUGCUAUAUUUCUCUCUAGCAAGGAUUUGUAUAUUUUCGCUUUCUCCUCAAGUAACACCUGGACCUGCUCCUUUCCCUUCGAAUGCUGAGGGCUCAGUCUCCAAGUUCCUUUAUGAAACAGGGUGUACCAUCAGAGACGCAGGUAUUUACUGAAACCUGCUUUGUGCUGGGCAAUGUGCCAGAUGUUGGGGAUAAAAUGGUGCCUUCAGAAAUGAAGAUGCAAAGACAACAGGGGAAAACCAUGUAUGUUUAUGGACAGUCAUGCCAAAGUAUGAUUGGAAGACAAAAAGACAUGCGAUCUCACUAUGUUGCCCAGGUUGGUCUGAAACUCCUGGCCUCAAGCGAUCCCCCCUGCCUUGGCCUCCACAGUGCUGGAACUACAGGUAUGAGCCAUUGUACCCAGCCAGGAAAUACAAUUUUUGAAAGACUAAACAAGUUUCUAAAAUCAUUGCACAAUUAAGUAGCAGAAUUAGAACACAGAGUGGGCCUGUUUGAAACCAUCAGCUAUUAACCACCAUGCCAUACUUUGGAGGAGCAGACCCCACACUUGUAACUAAGCACUUGAAUUUAUCACUCCUGCAAGUCAAGACUUCGCCUAUGAACCAGCUGCCCUCUGCCAGCCCAGCUUCGUGUAUGUGCAAUCUCUACAGUUGCACAGGGCCCCAUGUUUGGCUUAGUACUUUGCUUUUGCUAUCUUUAAAUACUUAAUAAUUUUUAAACAAGUUCCCAUAUUUUUAUUUUGCACUGAGCUUCACAAAUUACAAAGUCAGUGCUACCCACAGUACCUAAGCUAUAACGAAUACAAAGCUUUAAAAGCUGCGUAGAGUUUAGCUGAAACUGUUGCCCAGUCUGAAGGAAAGUCCUAGGAGCUAAUUUUGGAAGAUGCUGUUCAGUCCUAGGUUAUGAAAAAAGGUUCUGCCCUUUUACAACUCUAGCAGGAAGAGCUAAGCUCCCGAUAUUCCGUCCAUUAAUGUCCCUGGUGAGAGUCUUCAAAUCUGACGAGCAACAAUGCAAGAAUUUCCCAGCCUCCAACAUGUGACCCACUUCUACAUUAUUAACUCCAAUAAACUGACCAAUUAAAUGUUUUUGUGGUCACAGAAUUUGUAAUAAUGUGGUUAAAGAUGCUUCAGAUAUGUCACAUUCAUUCACAUUGUGGCAGAAACUAUUGGUUAAAUAACUGAGCCAUAUCUAUCUUCCUUGUCCACUCUGCACAAAAGAGACUGGAAAAAAGCUGGACACUUGCUUCUUUCCCAUCCUCCUUUGCAGGUAAGCAUCGCUGUGUGACUUAGUGCUGGCCAAUGAGAUGGGAAGGAAGUCUUCUGGGAUGCAAAAAGCUUUUUUCUUUGUUAAUAAAAAGGAGAACGCCUCUCCAGGAACAGAUCUUUUUCAAUACCACUCUGUUGCCCACUUCCUACCUUCAUGUUGUUUGGAGCUACAGCACCCAUCUUGAAAUAAUAAGGUAAAACACAUCACUAUGAAAAGCCAACAGCUGAAUUUAGAGUAGACAGGAUGGAAGGGACCUGCUGACACUGUGGAGCAACUGAACCAGUGCUGUGGACUGCCUAGUUAACCUACUACUUGUUUAAAUCUCUGAAGGGCUAUAUUUUUAAAAUUUUGCAACCAAAGUUAUUCUUAGUCUAAGCAUACAACUUUGAAAAAUGUGAUCCCUUUGACAAGAUAACAAGCCUUCCAUUACCUGCUGCAGGUGGCCCAGUUUGCUGGCUGUUGUGGGUAGCUCAGAACAGGACUCUAAGGCACCCUGACCCUCCCUCUGCUUUAAAACUCAACACCAAACUGUAUUCAUCCUUGUGGUACUGCCUGUGUCUUAACAUGCAUCCCAACACCUGGCACAGAGCCUGGCACUGGCAACCUCUCAGGAAAUUUGCUAAAUGAACUGAUAGUGUAGCAUUCUGUCACUUUCCUCAGCAACAAAAGUCUAAUUCUUCAAAAAAUUUUCCUUUUGCAACUGAAUUUAAAAAUGAAAUACCUACCACCUACCACUUAAAGUUUUGCUAGGUGAUGGCUUACCAAAAAAAAAAAAAAAAAAAAAAGGAAAAAUACUCUUGUAUGAU